UGUGGUAACGGCAUACCAAGGCAACGAUGAUUCGGGGUCCUGAGAGGGAGAUCCCCCACACUGGUACUGAGACACGGMCCAGACUCCUACGGGAGGCAGCAGUGAGGAAUAUUGGUCAAUGGAGGCAACUCUGAACCAGCCAUGCCGCGUGCAGGAUGACUGCCCUAUGGGUUGUAAACUGCUUUUAUACAGGAAGAAAUGUAUCUACGUGUAGAUAUUYGACGGUACUGUAGGAAUAAGGAUCGGCUAACUCCGUGCCAGCAGCCGCGGUAAUACGGAGGAUCCGAGCGUUAUCCGGAAUUAUUGGGUUUAAAGGGUUCGUAGGCGGCCUUAUAAGUCAGGGGUGAAAUCUSUCAGCUCAACUGAGAACUUGCCUUUGAUACUGUAUGGCUUGAAUAAUAUUGAAGUAACUAGAAUAUGUAGUGUAGCGGUGAAAUGCAUAGAUAUUACAUGGAAUACCAAUUGCGAAGGCAGGUUACUAAUUAUUUAUUGACGCUGAUGAACGAAAGCGUGGGUAGCGAACAGGAUUAGAUACCCUGG
RNAcentral lists this ribosomal RNA (540 nucleotides) under Myroides indicus. RNAcentral describes it as "bacterial SSU rRNA". It matches the Rfam family "Bacterial small subunit ribosomal RNA", at positions 253 to 790 of the family's 1533-position model. The record is from RNAcentral. Lineage: Bacteria; Pseudomonadati; Bacteroidota; Flavobacteriia; Flavobacteriales; Flavobacteriaceae.